AGUUGGAAGCCAAAAGGGAAGCGGCAGCCUUGUUCUUUCCCCGCUCUGAAGGUGGGAGGAGGAUCACCAGGGCAUCUGAGUUAUGCCGCUGGUCUGCUGGCUCAUGUUGUGGGCCUGCAGAAGCAGCCAGAUGAUCCACUCCUUCAGCUCUCAGACCCAGGCAGGACAUGUUUAGGUCCUUGAGCCAAAGGGGCCAGACUUGGAGACAGCACAAGGCAGAAGACAGCUCCAGUCUGUCCUCACUUCCCUGCUCUGCAUCUGACCUGCUGCCACCCUGACCUGCUGCCCUGCAGAAUUCAGACUCCAACACGAGAUAAAUCAGCUCAGCACAGAAGAGAUGAGCAUGUGUACUACUUUCCAAAAGAGGAAGUGGAUUCCGAAAACUACUUAUUUUGAUGGACCCUGUACUCCAUGGAUCAGCUGGCACCACCCAGAUCGAUAAACCGGCUCAUCUGGUCUUGUGGCCCCCAACCAGGAAGUGCUCAGUGCAAGAGGACAGCUUCAACUCCCUUUGAUUUCCUCUCCAACCCAAACAAUCAGCACUCCCAACUCACUGGCCCCUACCCACCAAAUUAUACUUAAAAAUUCCAAUUCCCAAAUUCUCAGGAAGACCGAUUUGAGUAAUAAUAAAAUUUCAUACAGCCAGCUCUGCAUGAAUUGAAAUCUUUCUCUAAUGCAAUUCUCCUGUCUUAAUAAAUCAGCUCUGUCUAGGCAGAGGGUAAGGAGAACCCAUGGGGCAGUUACAUUAUUACAUUGGAUUCUCAUAGCAAUCAAUGCUAUGCAGAUCUCUCAGAUGAGUUAGGUGAGUUAUAGGUUGGUUCAAGUCACUACUUGAUAUGGUUUGGCUGUGUCCCCACCCAAAUCUCAUCUUUUUUUUUUUUUCUUUUU
Gorilla gorilla gorilla (western lowland gorilla) is the source of this 888-nucleotide long non-coding RNA. RefSeq lists it as uncharacterized. The record is from RefSeq and is a predicted model, not a curated record. The transcript is spliced from 3 exons. NCBI's taxonomy places the organism in Eukaryota, Metazoa, Chordata, Mammalia, Primates, Hominidae.